UUUGGGUAUUAACUCCUUCUAAGAUAUAUGGUUUGCAAAUAUUUUCUCCUAUUUUGUAUGUAGCCUUUUCUUUGUUCAUAUUUUCCUUUGCUGUGCAAAAG
Long non-coding RNA from Aethalodelphis obliquidens (Pacific white-sided dolphin), 101 nucleotides. RefSeq lists it as uncharacterized. The record is from RefSeq and is a predicted model, not a curated record. Lineage: Eukaryota; Metazoa; Chordata; Mammalia; Artiodactyla; Delphinidae. The transcript has 3 exons.